This 213-nucleotide unclassified non-coding RNA is filed under the name Hevea brasiliensis (rubber tree). Lineage: Eukaryota; Viridiplantae; Streptophyta; Magnoliopsida; Malpighiales; Euphorbiaceae. The record is from RNAcentral.
CUGUACACUGCUAAAUUGCACGUACUUGCAUCUUUUUGUAUGAUCCGUUAAUUUUUAUCUGUUCUGAUGAUGUCCUCUCUAAUUUUCGUUUUUCUUUUUUCUUUUUUGUUUAAAUUUUUUUUUCAUGCAAUGUAAUUCUACUUGCAUUAAACAGGAUAGAGUUGGUUCACUGAAAGGGGGCAUUGAGUUUCUGGAGCUAUGCGGUUUUGAGAA